GUCUACGGCCAUGCCACCCUGAACAUGCUCAAUCUCUUCUGAUCUUGAAAGCUAAGCAGGGUUGGGCCUGGUUAGUAUAUGAAUGGGAGACCACCUAGGAAUACCAGGUAGUGUAGGUU
This 119-nucleotide ribosomal RNA is filed under the name Pteropus alecto (black flying fox). The record is from RNAcentral. Lineage: Eukaryota; Metazoa; Chordata; Mammalia; Chiroptera; Pteropodidae.